Molecule: non-coding RNA, 73 nt
Organism: Trichonephila inaurata madagascariensis
Lineage: Eukaryota; Metazoa; Arthropoda; Arachnida; Araneae; Nephilidae
Source: the annotation of a GenBank genome assembly
GUCCCUGCAGCGCAAUGGAUUACGCGUUGAACUUCGCAUCCAAAGGCCCUGGGUUUGAGUCCCAAAUGGGACG